This is a non-coding RNA of Mycena sp. CBHHK59/15, 83 nucleotides long. Lineage: Eukaryota; Fungi; Basidiomycota; Agaricomycetes; Agaricales; Mycenaceae. The record is from the annotation of a GenBank genome assembly.
UCCCUCUUAGCUCAGUUGGUAGAGCGCGUCACUAGUACCAAUCCUCAAUGACGAGGUCAGUCGUUCAAAUCGGCUAGCGGGAA